This 464-nucleotide ribosomal RNA is filed under the name uncultured bacterium. RNAcentral's name for it is "partial 16S ribosomal RNA". It matches the Rfam family "Bacterial small subunit ribosomal RNA", at positions 338 to 795 of the family's 1533-position model. The record is from RNAcentral.
CCUACGGGAGGCAGCAGUGGGGAAUCUUCCGCAAUGGGCGAAAGCCUGACGGAGCAACGCCGCGUGAUCGAAUGAAGGCCUUCGGGUUGUAAAGAUCUGUUGACAGGGACGAAUAAGCAAUGCGAAUAGUUUUGUGUCUGACGGUACCUGUUUAGAAAGCUCCGGCUAACUACGUGCCAGCAGCCGCGGUAAUACGUAGGGAGCAAGCGUUGUCCGGAGUUACUGUGCUGAAAGGGCGCGUAGGUGGGCGCUUAAGUCAGGUGUGAAAACUCCGGGCUCAACCUGUAGACUGCACUUGAAACUGUUUUUCUUGAGUACUGGAGAGGCAGACGGAAUUCCUAGUGUAGCGGUGAAAUGCGUAGAUAUUAGGAGGAACACCAGUGGCGAAGGCGGUCUGCUGGACAGCAACUGACGCUGAGGCGCGAAAGCGUGGGGAGCAAACAGGAUUAGAUACCCUUGUAGUC